RNAcentral lists this long non-coding RNA (628 nucleotides) under Vulpes vulpes (red fox). RNAcentral's name for it is "lncRNA (ENSVVUG00000016446.1)". The record is from RNAcentral. Lineage: Eukaryota; Metazoa; Chordata; Mammalia; Carnivora; Canidae.
GGGGAGGGUCCCUGUUCUCUGCUCCUUAAUUCUGUGCAACUUAAUGCUCCUCUUUCUUCCAGGCCCACGGUCUCUACUUUGAAAGCUCUGGAGUCCGACUAAAGCACCGCCACCCAAACCUCCGACCGCCGGGGCCGCCAACGCCCCCGCCCCCCAGGCUGGGCCGGGGGCGGGGUUCAGGGCGCGGGCGCAGGUUGCAGACGCGCUCGAGAGGGGGCGCGGUCUCCGCCGCCGGGUCCGCCCUGCGGGGCAGAGGUCGCGGGGGGCGAGGCUCCCGGGCCCGCUGCUGCCCCGGGUCCGGAGACGCGCGCGCCCCCCGCCGCGGACGGGGCACAGGAAGGCCCAUCUGCUGUGCUGUUCUCAGCAGCCCGACCCCACUCUCUUGUGGCGCUGCGGAUGGGAAGGGAGUGGGCAGGAAGGCCGCUGCCUGCUGGAAAACUUACCAUCACCAAGAUCAGCCACAACUGGCCAGGUGGGUGUAAGGCACAUAUGUUACUCUUCUACUGCAAGUUGGUGAUUUUUUAUUUUAUUUUAUUUUUUAUUUUUUUAUUUAUUUAUUUUUAAUUUUUAUUUAUUUAUGAUAGUCACACAGAGAGAGAGAGGCAGAGACACAGGCAGAGGGAGAAGC